GCAGUGCGGGAGCUAUACAUGCAAGUCGAGCGGACAGAUGGGAGCUUGCUCCCUGAUGUUAGCGGCGGACGGGUGAGUAACACGUGGGUAACCUGCCUGUAAGACUGGGAUAACUCCGGGAAACCGGGGCUAAUACCGGAUGGUUGUUUGAACCGCAUGGUUCAAACAUAAAAGGUGGCUUCGGCUACCACUUACAGAUGGACCCGCGGCGCAUUAGCUAGUUGGUGAGGUAACGGCUCACCAAGGCAACGAUGCGUAGCCGACCUGAGAGGGUGAUCGGCCACACUGGGACUGAGACACGGCCCAGACUCCUACGGGAGGCAGCAGUAGGGAAUCUUCCGCAAUGGACGAAAGUCUGACGGAGCAACGCCGCGUGAGUGAUGAAGGUUUUCGGAUCGUAAAGCUCUGUUGUUAGGGAAGAACAAGUACCGUUCGAAUAGGGCGGUACCUUGACGGUACCUAACCAGAAAGCCACGGCUAACUACGUGCCAGCAGCCGCGGUAAUACGUAGGUGGCAAGCGUUGUCCGGAAUUAUUGGGCGUAAAGGGCUCGCAGGCGGUUUCUUAAGUCUGAUGUGAAAGCCCCCGGCUCAACCGGGGAGGGUCAUUGGAAACUGGGGAACUUGAGUGCAGAAGAGGAGAGUGGAAUUCCACGUGUAGCGGUGAAAUGCGUAGAGAUGUGGAGGAACACCAGUGGCGAAGGCGACUCUCUGGUCUGUAACUGACGCUGAGGAGCGAAAGCGUGGGGAGCGAACAGGAUUAGAUACCCUGGUAGUCCACGCCGUAACGAUGAGUGCUAAGUGUUAGGGGGUUUCCGCCCCUUAGUGCUGCAGCUAACGCAUUAAGCACUCCGCCUGGGGAGUACGGUCGCAAGACUGAAACUCAAAGGAAUUGACGGGGGCCCGCACAAGCGGUGGAGCAUGUGGGUUUAAUUCGAAGCAACGCGAAGAACCUUACCAGGGUCUUGACAUCCUCUGACAAUCCUAGAGAUAGGACGUCCCCUUCGGGGGCAGAGUGACAGGUGGUGCAUGGUUGUCGUCAGCUCGUGUCGUGAGAUGUUGGGUAAGUCCCGCAACGAGCGCAACCCUUGGAUCUAGCUGCAGCAUCAGUGGGCACUCUAGGUGACUGCGGUGACAAACCGGAGGAAGGGUGGGGGAUGACGUCAAUCAUCAUU
RNAcentral lists this ribosomal RNA (1173 nucleotides) under Bacillus subtilis. RNAcentral describes it as "bacterial SSU rRNA". It matches the Rfam family "Bacterial small subunit ribosomal RNA", at positions 39 to 1197 of the family's 1533-position model. Lineage: Bacteria; Bacillati; Bacillota; Bacilli; Caryophanales; Bacillaceae. The record is from RNAcentral.